GAGGGAAAGGUGAAAAGAACCCCGGGAGGGGAGUGAAAUAGAACCUGAAACCCUGCACUUACAAGCUGUGGGAGCACAUUACUUGUGUGACCGCGUACUUUUUGUAGAACGGGCCAACGAGUUACGUUAAGUAGCAAGGUUAAGCACUUAAGGUGUGGAGCCGUAGCGAAAGCGAGUCUUAAAUGGGCGAUUAAGUUACUUGGCGUAGACCCGAAACCGGGCGACCUAUCCAUGAGCAGGUUGAAGCGAAAGUAAAAUUUCGUGGAGGACCGAACCCACGAGCGUUGAAAAGCUCGGGGAUGACUUGUGGAUAGCGGUGAAAUUCCAAUCGAGCCCGGAGAUAGCUGGUUCUCCCCGAAAUAGCUUUAGGGCUAGCCUCAAGCGUAGAGAAACGGAGGUAGAGCACUGAAUGUCCUAGGGGGUAUUGCACUUACCGAAGACUAUCAAACUCCGAAUGCCGUUUUCUUUUACUUGGGAGUCAGACUGUGGGUGAUAAGAUUCAUAGUCAAAAGGGCAACAGCCCAGAUCGUCAGCUAAGGUCCCUAAAUGUACGUUAAGUGGUAAAGGAUGUGGGAUUGCACAGACAACCAGGAUGUUGGCUUAGAAGCAGCCACUCAUUUAAAGAGUGCGUAAUAGCUCACUGGUCGAGUGAUCCUGCGCCGAAAAUUUCCGGGGCUAAAACGUACUACCGAAGCUACGGCAUCAUUUAUGAUGGGUAGGGGAGCUUCGUAUGCAGGCUGAAGCAUGACCGUAAGGACAUGUGGACAGUAUACGAGUGAGAAUGUUGGCAUGAGUAGCGAGACGUGGGUGAGAAUCCCACGGGCCGUAAACCCAAGGUUUCCAGGGGAAGGUUCGUCCGCCCUGGGUUAGUCGGGACCUAAGCCGAGGCCGAAAGGCGUAGGUGAUGGACAACAGGUUGAUAUUCCUGUACCGCCAAUAAGCGUUUGAGAGAUGGAGUGACACAGUAGGAUAAGCUAACCGUACUGUUGGUUAUGUACGGCUAAGCAUUGAGGCAGUCUAAAUAGGCAAAUCCGUUUAGACAAUGCUAGGAUGUGAUGGGGAAGCCCUUCGGGGCGAAGUAGCUGAUUUCACACUGUCAAGAAAAGCUUCUAUCGAGUUUAAAGGCGCCCGUACCGUAAACCGACACAGGUGGGUGAGGAGAGUAUCCUAAGGCCAGCGAGAGAACUAUUGUUAAGGAACUCGGCAAAAUGACCCCGUAACUUAGGGAGAAGGGGUGCCUGUCUAUGACAGGCCGCAGAGAAUAGGCCCAAGCGACUGUUUACCAAAAACACAGGUUUCUGCUAAGUCGCAAGACGAUGUAUAGGAGCUGACGCCUGCCCGGUGCUGGAAGGUUAAGGGGAUCUGUUAGAGCAAUCGAAGCAGUGAACUUAAGCCCCAGUAAACGGCGGCCGUAACUAUAACGGUCCUAAGGUAGCGAAAUUCCUUGUCGGGUAAGUUCCGACCCGCACGAAAGGCGUAACGAUUUGGGCACUGUCUCAACAAUAGACUCGGUGAAAUUGUAAUCCCGGUGAAGAUGCCGGGUACCUGCGACAGGACGGAAAGACCCCAUGGAGCUUUACUGUAGCUUGACGUUGGGUCUUGGUACUACAUGUACAGGAUAGGUGGGAGACUAUGAAGCAUGGACGCCAGUCUGUGUGGAGUCAUCCUUGGGAUACCACCCUUGUAGUACUGGGAUCCUAACCAUAGGCCUUGAAUCAGGUCUUGGAACACCGUCAGGUGGGCAGUUUGACUGGGGCGGUCGCCUCCUAAAAAGUAACGGAGGCGCUCAAAGGUUUCCUCAGCACGGUCGGAAAUCGUGCGAAGAGUGUAAAGGCAAAAGGAAGCUUGAUUGCAAGACAUACAGGUCGAGCAAGGACGAAAGUCGGACUUAGUGAUCCGGUGGUACCGCAUGGAAGGGCCAUCGCUCAACGGAUAAAAGCUACCCUGGGGAUAACAGGCUUAUCUCCCCCAAGAGUCCACAUCGACGGGGAGGUUUGGCACCUCGAUGUCGGCUCAUCACAUCCUGGGGCUGUAGUAGGUCCCAAGGGUUGGGCUGUUCGCCCAUUAAAGUGGUACGCGAGCUGGGUUCAGAACGUCGUGAGACAGUUCGGUCCUUAUCUGUCGCAGGCGAAGGAUAUUUGAAGGGAGUUGACCUUAGUACGAGAGGACCAGGUUGAAGGAACCGAUGGUGCACCAGUUGUACUACCAAGUGCAUAGCUGGAUAGCUAAGUUCCGAAGGGAUAAACGCUGAAAGCAUCUAAGUGUGAAGCCCACCCUAAGAUAAGAUAUCCCAUAUCGAAAGAUAGU
Molecule: ribosomal RNA, 2307 nt
Filed under: human gut metagenome
Description: bacterial LSU rRNA
Rfam family: Bacterial large subunit ribosomal RNA
Source: RNAcentral